CCGCUUGUUAAUUUCAUCUUCUGAAACACCGUCAAUGCAUUCUCGGACUUGACUGACGAAAGUGCUGAAAUUUGAAAACAUUGUUAAGGACAUUUCGUCUAUGCAAUCAAAAUAUAAUCAUGCAUGCUUAUUUGUAUAUAUGUACCUCUCGUAAGGUACCAAUUCCUCGCAAUUCAGAAGUAUAUAUGUAUGUGCGCUGUGGUAGUCCUGUUCGUUUGACCAACAAGUUUC
RNAcentral lists this long non-coding RNA (231 nucleotides) under Eutrema salsugineum. RNAcentral describes it as "long non-coding RNA (ESAL_LNC002101)". The record is from RNAcentral. Lineage: Eukaryota; Viridiplantae; Streptophyta; Magnoliopsida; Brassicales; Brassicaceae.